AUGUAUGUUAUUUGCAAGUUUUCAGAUUUCAAGAAACAACUAGUCAGAGAAAUAGGAUUCGACGGGUUGCUUCAGAUCAAGUCAUGGCAAAAGAUAAAUCUUAAGUACAGCGCUUACCUCAUGGAUAGAGUAGAUGUUGACAACAGCGUGGUCAACCUAGAAGGCCAGGGCAUGCUUGAGCUUACAGACGAGUCGGUUCACUCUGUUUUUGCAAUACCACGCGGUGAGCUAGCAAUUGGUCCAGAAGGUGUCGAACCGUCUGAAGCUUGCAUUGAGUAUACACGUUUCGCAGCUAGCAUCAAUGACAAAGGUACACACAGCUUGAAGGCAGCAGAGGCAUACCUAAUGCGGGACAUCACCGCCAACUCUAGAAAAAUUGACAUGGAUUGUUUCAAAAUUGCAUUUGUCAUCUUUGUAAUUGGCCAUGUGUUUGUGCUUGACAGCCUCGAGCUUGGCCAGCUGAACAAACCACGCGGAAUCUACCCAAGGAUAGCGCUUUUUGAGCACGAGUCGAUGAAGAAGAUGAUUGAUAUCACAUCCGUAAACAUGGGUGGAAAUAUCAUUUCACGGGGCAUCGGUCAAGGCUGA
RNAcentral lists this ribosomal RNA (588 nucleotides) under Triticum aestivum (bread wheat). Its description in RNAcentral is "partial small subunit ribosomal RNA". The record is from RNAcentral. Lineage: Eukaryota; Viridiplantae; Streptophyta; Magnoliopsida; Poales; Poaceae.